GGGCCCGUUGUGUAGCCAGGAGAUCACGUGGGCUUCCGGAGCCCAAUGACGCGGGUUCAAAUCCCGCCGGGCCCG
Molecule: transfer RNA, 75 nt
Filed under: Candidatus Bathyarchaeota archaeon
Lineage: Archaea; Thermoproteati; Candidatus Bathyarchaeota
Description: tRNA-Arg
Rfam family: tRNA
About the family: Transfer RNA (tRNA) molecules are approximately 80 nucleotides in length. Their secondary structure includes four short double-helical elements and three loops (D, anti-codon, and T loops). Further hydrogen bonds mediate the characteristic L-shaped molecular structure. tRNAs have two regions of fundamental functional importance: the anti-codon, which is responsible for specific mRNA codon recognition, and the 3' end, to which the tRNAs corresponding amino acid is attached (by aminoacyl-tRNA synthetases). tRNAs cope with the degeneracy of the genetic code in two manners: having more than one tRNA (with a specific anti-codon) for a particular amino acid; and 'wobble' base-pairing, i.e. permitting non-standard base-pairing at the 3rd anti-codon position.
Source: RNAcentral